GACGAACGCUGGCGGCGUGCUUAACACAUGCAAGUCGAACGGAAAGGCCCUGCUUGCAGGGUACUCGAGUGGCGAACGGGUGAGUAACACGUGGGUGAUCUGCCCUUCACAUCGGGGUAAGCCUGGGAAACUGGGGCGAAUACCGGAGAGGAGCCAGUAUUAGUGUGGGGGUUGGAAAGAUUUUUGGGUUUAGGCUGAGAUCGCGGCCUAUCCGCUUGUUGGGGGGGUAAUGGCCUACCAAGGCGGCGACGGGUAGCCGGCCUGCGGGGGGGGACGGGCACAAUAGGACUGCGAGACGGACCAGAAGGCUACGGGACGCAGCAGUGGGGAGUCUUGCACAAUGGGCGCAAGCCUGAUGAAGAGACGCCCCGGGGGGGAGGACCGGUUUUUGGUUGUAAACACGUUUCGUUAGGGACGAGGCUUUUUGUGACGGUACCUAGACAAGAAGCAACGGCUAACUACGUG
RNAcentral lists this ribosomal RNA (465 nucleotides) under uncultured bacterium. Its description in RNAcentral is "partial 16S ribosomal RNA". It matches the Rfam family "Bacterial small subunit ribosomal RNA", at positions 28 to 507 of the family's 1533-position model. The record is from RNAcentral.